This 136-nucleotide microRNA precursor is filed under the name Gossypium arboreum. RNAcentral's name for it is "MIR7502 microRNA precursor family". It matches the Rfam family "MIR7502 microRNA precursor family". The record is from Rfam by way of RNAcentral. Lineage: Eukaryota; Viridiplantae; Streptophyta; Magnoliopsida; Malvales; Malvaceae.
UGUUAAAAUUUUCAUUCAUUUUUACUAUUAAAAAUUGACAACAUAACCAAACAAUAACACAUUACAUGCCAUGUAUAUAUCAUACUGGCAUAAAGAGACCAAUUUUUACCAAUAAAAAUUAAUAAAAUUUUUAACA